CUUCCCAUCUCCGCCUCAGGCUUGCUUCAGCUGCCUGUGUGUCAUCGCUGCGAGCCACAGGCAAGGUAAAACAAGCCCGAGGCAGGUGGGUGG
MicroRNA precursor from Petromyzon marinus (sea lamprey), 93 nucleotides. Ensembl annotates it as pma-mir-1788b. The record is from Ensembl. NCBI's taxonomy places the organism in Eukaryota, Metazoa, Chordata, Hyperoartia, Petromyzontiformes, Petromyzontidae.